This 415-nucleotide ribosomal RNA is filed under the name uncultured bacterium. RNAcentral's name for it is "bacterial SSU rRNA". It matches the Rfam family "Bacterial small subunit ribosomal RNA", at positions 917 to 1333 of the family's 1533-position model. The record is from RNAcentral.
GGGCCCGCACAAGCGGUGGAGUAUGUGGUUUAAUUCGAUGCAACGCGAAGAACCUUACCAGGGUUUGACAUCCUGCGAAUCUCUUGGAAACUUGAGAGUGCCUUCGGGAGCGCAGUGACAGGUGGUGCAUGGCUGUCGUCAGCUCGUGUCGUGAGAUGUUGGGUUAAGUCCCGCAACGAGCGCAACCCACGUCUUUAGUUGCCAGCAUUUAGUUGGGCACUCUAGAGAGACCGCCGGUGAUAAACCGGAGGAAGGUGUGGAUGACGUCAAGUCAUCAUGCCCCUUACAUCCUGGGCUACACACGUACUACAAUGCUACGGACAAAGGGCAGCAAGUUCGCGAGGACAAGCAAAUCCCAUAAACCGUGGCUCAGUUCAGAUCGUAGGCUGCAACUCGCCUACGUGAAGGAGGAAUC